GACGAACGCUGGCGGCGUGCUUAACACAUGCAAGUCGAACGAAAAGAGGGAAAGAGCUUGCUCUUUCCGGAAUUGAGUGGCAAACGGGUGAGUAACACGUAAACAACCUGCCUUCAGGAUGGGGACAACAGACGGAAACGACUGCUAAUACCGAAUAAGUUCCAAGAGCCGCAUGGCCCAUGGAAGAAAAGGUGGCCUCUACCUGUAAGCUAUCGCCUGAAGAGGGGUUUGCGUCUGAUUAGCUGGUUGGAGGGGUAACGGCCCACCAAGGCGACGAUCAGUAGCCGGUCUGAGAGGAUGAACGGCCACACUGGAACUGAGACACGGUCCAGACUCCUACGGGAGGCAGCAGUGGGGAAUCUUCCGCAAUGGGCGAAAGCCUGACGGAGCAACGCCGCGUGAGUGAUGACGGCCUUCGGGUUGUAAAACUCUGUAAUCCGGGACGAAAAGGCAGAGUGCGAAGAACAAACUGCAUUGACGGUACCGGAAAAGCAAGCCGCGGCUAACUACGUGCCAGCAGCCGCGGUAAUACGUAGGUGGCAAGCGUUGUCCGGAAUUAUUGGGCGUAAAGCGCGCGCAGGCGGCUUCCCAAGUCCCUCUUAAAAGUGCGGGGCUUAACCCCGUGAUGGGAAGGAAACUGGGAAGCUGGAGUAUCGGAGAGGAAAGUGGAAUUCCUAGUGUAGCGGUGAAAUGCGUAGAGAUUAGGAAGAACACCGGUGGCGAAGGCGACUUUCUGGACGAAAACUGACGCUGAGGCGCGAAAGCGUGGGGAGCAAACAGG
RNAcentral lists this ribosomal RNA (781 nucleotides) under uncultured Dialister sp. Its description in RNAcentral is "bacterial SSU rRNA". It matches the Rfam family "Bacterial small subunit ribosomal RNA", at positions 28 to 776 of the family's 1533-position model. Lineage: Bacteria; Bacillati; Bacillota; Negativicutes; Veillonellales; Veillonellaceae. The record is from RNAcentral.